Molecule: long non-coding RNA, 1917 nt
Filed under: Heterocephalus glaber (naked mole-rat)
Lineage: Eukaryota; Metazoa; Chordata; Mammalia; Rodentia; Bathyergidae
Description: lncRNA (ENSHGLG00100038615.1)
Source: RNAcentral
GUAAGUGAGCGGCGCCUCGCGGGGAGGGAGAGAGGGCGGGAGGAAGGCGGAGGGAUAUUCGGUCCGGACCUCUCCCCGGCAGCACCGCGCUCCACAGCAAUUGGUUUCCGCCGUGGCCACACGGAAUCCCCAAUUGGCCAGUCGGCCGGCGUUGAAGGGGCGCCCUGUGCCCAUUCGCCCGCGGGUUUCAAGGACCCGGGUUGGCUAGGGCAGAGGAAUGGGGCGCGCAGAUUGGCCGAAGGGAGGGACGUUGGGGUGGGGCAGGUGAGAGCCGGCCGCUGAUUGGGUGAGCCUGGCAAGGGUCUUGGGCUCAGACGGGCUGAGCGCGAGGAGGGUGGUGGGCCGGAGGUAAAGCUCAGAGCUCUCGUGAUUGGCUGGGGUCCUGGACGUUGAUAGGUCAGGGCGCCGGGGAGGACUGAGGAGAGGAGUUCGGUCGGGGUCGGGGCGUGCAAAGGCAGAAGACGCCCCGCCGCUUUCGGAGUCUGGCGCGGGGCACGCCGGGACGCCCCGGGAAAGGGCGGAGCUGAGCGCCGGCUGCAGUCCGGACGGCAGCGUCACUGCGGGCGUGCGGAGCGAAGUUUCGCGGGCCUGCGCGGGAAGGGACCGUUAAAAUCUGGGGCCGCGCCCACCGGAAGCGACUGAAUGGCGAGGUCGCCUUGGUAACAGGCCUUUGGCUGGAAGGACCUUGAAGGCCACGUGAUUCGACUUACAGUGUGCGGUGGGAACUCUGACGCCCAGAGAGGACUCCCACUGGUGCAGUCUCUGGAAUGGAGGGUCCACUGCGUACACCCCCCCAUGGAUGUAAAAGUUCCACGGAAGACCUCAUUAUGAUGCUUCACAUCAUCCAGGAAACAGGAUCCUAAUACCUUGCAGAGAGAAGUUCAAGGCUUUUACUUCCUACCUAUGAAGCCUUUCACGACGCCGGCAAGAGCAUGUGGUGCACCAAAACAAGAAAAUGAGGCAAGAAAUAAAGACAUGUGCUCCAGGAAACAGGACAUUCAACACGGAUGAGAGAUGACAGUGGCUGCAGGCUGGGCUGCAGCCCAGUGGUAGAGCGCUUGCCUUGAGGGUGGGGACUUGGGUUCGAUCUCCAGUGCUGGGAAAAAAACCCUGAAAAAGAAACAACAUAAGCAUAGCAGACUCAACUGCUCAGCUGUGAAUAACAGGUACAGAGACAUAACUGUAGACAGAAUAAGCUGGUUCCCACCAACCCCAGCACAAAUGGCCUGUCCCCCUGUACCCCAAAUGACUGCUUUCCAGCUGCCUGGCAGCCUCUGUUCGAACUAUCCUGUCUUGCUGUUGGUUAAAUAGGACUUGAGUGAGUGAAAUCCAAUUAGUAAGUCAAUACAUUAAACAAAUUCAUUAAAUGUUGAAUUAAAAUGUCAAUAUAAGCCAUUCAUGGUGGGUGAUUGUGCAUGCCUGUAGUAAUAGCAGUUAACAGGGAAGUUGAGGCAGGAGGAUUACUUGAACUGAACGCACAAGUUUAAGUCCACCCUAGGCAGCAUAGCCAGACCCCGUUUUUUUUUUUUAAAGUUAGCACACACCUAUCUAUAAACCCUGGCCAAGUACUCUAGGAGGUUGAGGCAGAAGUAUUGCAUAUUCAAGCUUAGCCUUGGAAAAUAGCAGCUUAGCAAGAUUCUGUGUCAAAAUUUUUUUUUAAAGGGCUGGGGAUGUGACUCAGUGUGAAGGCCCUGGGUUCAAUCCCAAGUAUGGCUGAGUACAUACAAAUGCUAUACCUGCCAGAGCUGGGGAUGUAGCUCAGUGGUAGAACGCCCCUGGCUGUGAUCCCCAGUACUGCAAAAUAAAUUAAAAAAAAAAAAAAAAGAAAAGAAAAUUGAUCUCAGCAAUCAGCUAUGAACCAAACUAACCCCCUCUGCCACACACACAGUUUUUUUUUUUUAAAAAACUAAAUACCUG